Molecule: ribosomal RNA, 239 nt
Filed under: Vibrio alginolyticus
Lineage: Bacteria; Pseudomonadati; Pseudomonadota; Gammaproteobacteria; Vibrionales; Vibrionaceae
Description: partial 23S ribosomal RNA
Rfam family: Bacterial large subunit ribosomal RNA
Source: RNAcentral
CGGUGGAUGCCUUGGCAGUCAGAGGCGAUGAAGGACGUAUUAACUUGCGAUAAGCCCAGAUUAGGUAGUAAAAACCAUUUGAGUCUGGGAUUUCCGAAUGGGGAAACCCACUUACAUAAGUAAGUAUCGCUGCGUGAAUACAUAGCGCAGCGAGGCGAACCGGGGGAACUGAAACAUCUAAGUACCCCGAGGAAAAGAAAUCAACCGAGAUUCCGAAAGUAGCGGCGAGCGAAAUUGGA